Molecule: small RNA, 361 nt
Filed under: Pan troglodytes (chimpanzee)
Lineage: Eukaryota; Metazoa; Chordata; Mammalia; Primates; Hominidae
Description: retained intron
Source: RNAcentral
AGAUAUCACUGUACUCAUGAAGCUGGUGUACAUAGUGUUGGGCUAACUUGGAUUCAUAAACUUCACAAAUUUCUUGGAUCAGAUGAAGAAGAUAAGGAUAGUUUACAGGAACUCUCUACAGAACAGAAAUGCUUUGUUGAACACAUCCUUUGUACGAAGCCAUUGCCCUGCAGGCAGCCAGCUCCGAUUCGAGGAUUUUGGAUUGUACCUGACAUUCUGGGACCCACGAUGAUCUGCAUCACCAGUACCUAUGAAUGCCUCAUAUGGCCGUUAUUGUACGUCCCAUUUUAUAUUCUCCACACAGCUCUUGUUAAUUCUGCAGUAUCUAAGUUGGGAAAAUGCACUCAGUAACCAACUUGAA